UUAACUUUAUUUGUCUUUGCCCAUCAAUAAUUCAAAGAUUAUUAUUCUAU
RNAcentral lists this small RNA (50 nucleotides) under Arabidopsis thaliana (thale cress). RNAcentral's name for it is "ATSL290170". The record is from RNAcentral. Lineage: Eukaryota; Viridiplantae; Streptophyta; Magnoliopsida; Brassicales; Brassicaceae.